RNAcentral lists this long non-coding RNA (670 nucleotides) under Equus asinus (donkey). RNAcentral's name for it is "lncRNA (ENSEASG00005037847.1)". Lineage: Eukaryota; Metazoa; Chordata; Mammalia; Perissodactyla; Equidae. The record is from RNAcentral.
AAAAGACUCUCAAAUGUGUGAGGAGGUCUCCAUCAGUGAAGCUAUUCAAGAAGAGAGUAGAUGUCACCUGUUGAAAGUUAGAAGAACUACGUGUGAAGCCAGAGUUCUUCAGGCAAGACCAAGCCAAGGGUUUUCUAGAACUAUACCACUGUAUUGUCUGUCAGCAAACUGCUUAUUACCCACGUACCCAGAGUAACGGAACUUGCGCCUGAAUGUAAAUUAGCUACAUCACCAUACACACUGCUGAAGUCCAUUGACACUUUUUGUGGCAAGACUUUCUAGAUGGAAGAAAUGGCUGCAUUGAUUUACGAUCUGAGCUUCAGAGGAACCAGGCCCUCGAUGUUUCCCAGUAAAUCAUGACUUCAAGAUGCUCCUCAGUUUCCUUCAACCUUGACUUUCCUCCAAGAAUGCUGAGCCUUUUUCUGGUCUGUCCCUUGUACCUGCUUAGUUCUAAACUUCCUCUUUAACAUGUAGAAACAUAACAGCCAAAUAUUAAUUAGCAAUCUAGCAAUUAAGUGACUUAAAUAUGCAGAAUUGAUCUUACACAUUUAGCCUGACUCAUUUAUAUACCAUAAUUGCAAAAUAAGUUAAUAAUCUGCAAAAAUAAAAAUAGAAAAGUUUACGUCCGUAAGUCAUUUUUCAAUACUAGAAAUAUUUACCACUUCAACAA